AAAAAUUUAUUAUAUAGAUAAAUGUUUAUAGUUUUAAUAAUUUAUUUAAAAUUUAUUUUACAUAUGAAUUUUAGUGUUAUUUUUAAAUUAUUUUAAAAAUAAAUUAAUUAUUUUAUAGUAAUUAAUAUUAAAUUAUUUAAGAAAUUAAGAUUUAGUAAUAUUUAAAUUAAUAACAAAUUUUGUGCCAGCAGUUGCGGUUAAACAAAAGUUAAAUUGAAUUUUAUUAGUUAUUAAUAAAUAAAUUAAAUAUUAAUUUAAAUUUUAAAUUAUUAAGUGAAAUUUUAAUUUGAUGUAAUAUUAUUAAAAAUUUAUGAUUUAAUAAAAUUUAUUAAAAAACUAGGAUUAGAUACCCUACUAUUAAAAUUUUAAAUUUAAAUACUAAAAUAUUAAGUGAUUAUUCAUUGAAACUUAAAUAAUUUGGCGGUAUUUUAGUUCAUUUAGAGGAAUCUGUUUAAUAAUUGAUAACCCACGAAUAAAUUUACUUAAUUUUUAAUUUUGUAUAUCGUUGUUAUAUAAAUAUUUUUAAAUAGAAAUAAUAUUUAAGAUUUUACAUUAAAAAUUAAAUCAGAUCAAGAUGCAGAUUAUAAUUAAGAAUAUAAUGGAUUACAAUAAAUUUAUUUAUUUGGAUGUUAGUUUGAAAAAUUUAAUUAAAAUUGGAUUUAAAUGUAAUUUUAUUUAAUUUAAUAAAAUGAUUAUAAAUUGAAAUAUGUACAUAUUGCCCGUCGCUUUCACAUAUUAGGAUUAUAGUUAUAUAAUACAUUAAUAAAUUGAAAUAAGUCGUAACAAAGUAGAGGUACUGGAAAGUG
Molecule: ribosomal RNA, 806 nt
Filed under: Lemyra melli
Lineage: Eukaryota; Metazoa; Arthropoda; Insecta; Lepidoptera; Erebidae
Description: 12S ribosomal RNA
Source: RNAcentral